This 72-nucleotide transfer RNA is filed under the name Ictidomys tridecemlineatus (thirteen-lined ground squirrel). RNAcentral describes it as "Spermophilus tridecemlineatus (thirteen-lined ground squirrel) tRNA". It matches the Rfam family "tRNA". From Rfam's summary of the family: Transfer RNA (tRNA) molecules are approximately 80 nucleotides in length. Their secondary structure includes four short double-helical elements and three loops (D, anti-codon, and T loops). The record is from Rfam by way of RNAcentral. Lineage: Eukaryota; Metazoa; Chordata; Mammalia; Rodentia; Sciuridae.
GGGGAUAUAGCUCAGUGGUAAAGCACUUGCCCAGUAUGCAUGAGGUCCUUGAUUUGAACCCUGGUACUCCCA